GAGGCACUACGGUGCUGAAGUAACAAAUGCCCUGCUUCCAGGAAAAGCCUCUAAGCAUCAGGUAACACGAAAUCGUACCCCAAACCGACACAGGUGGUCAGGUAGAGAAUACCAAGGCGCUUGAGAGAACUCGGGUGAAGGAACUAGGCAAAAUGGUGCCGUAACUUCGGGAGAAGGCACGCUGAUAUGUAGGUGAAGUGAUUUACUCAUGGAGCUGAAAUCAGUCGAAGAUACCAGCUGGCUGCAACUGUUUAUUAAAAACACAGCACUGUGCAAACACGAAAGUGGACGUAUACGGUGUGACGCCUGCCCGGUGCCGGAAGGUUAAUUGAUGGGGUUAUCCGUAAGGAGAAGCUCUUGAUCGAAGCCCCGGUAAACGGCGGCCGUAACUAUAACGGUCCUAAGGUAGCGAAAUUCCUUGUCGGGUAAGUUCCGACCUGCACGAAUGGCGUAAUGAUGGCCAGGCUGUCUCCACCCGAGACUCAGUGAAAUUGAACUCGCUGUGAAGAUGCAGUGUACCCGCGGCAAGACGGAAAGACCCCGUGAACCUUUACUAUAGCUUGACACUGAACACUGGUCCUUGAUGUGUAGGAUAGGUGGGAGGCUUUGAAGUGUGGACGCCAGUCUGCAUGGAGCCAUCCUUGAAAUACCACCCUUUAAUGGCUGGUGUUCUAACGUAGACCCGUAAUCCGGGUUGCGGACAGUGUCUGGUGGGUAGUUUGACUGGGGCGGUCUCCUCCUAAAGAGUAACGGAGGAGCACGAAGGUUAGCUAAUCCUGGUCGGACAUCAGGAGGUUAGUGCAAAGGCAUAAGCUAGCUUGACUGCGAGAGUGACGGCUCGAGCAGGUGCGAAAGCAGGUCUUAGUGAUCCGGUGGUUCUGAAUGGAAGGGCCAUCGCUCAACGGAUAAAAGGUACUCCGGGGAUAACAGGCUGAUACCGCCCAAGAGUUCAUAUCGACGGCGGUGUUUGGCACCUCGAUGUCGGCUCAUCACAUCCUGGGGCUGAAGUAGGUCCCAAGGGUAUGGCUGUUCGCCAUUUAAAGUGGUACGCGAGCUGGGUUUAGAACGUCGUGAGACAGUUCGGUCCCUAUCUGCCGUGGGCGCUGGAGAAUUGAGGGGGGCUGCUCCUAGUACGAGAGGACCGGAGUGGACGCAUCACUGGUGUUCGGGUUGUCAUGCCAAUGGCAUUGCCCGGUAGCUAAAUGCGGAAGAGAUAAGUGCUGAAAGCAUCUAAGCACGAAACUUGCC
This 1248-nucleotide ribosomal RNA is filed under the name Citrobacter freundii. RNAcentral's name for it is "partial 23S ribosomal RNA". It matches the Rfam family "Bacterial large subunit ribosomal RNA", at positions 1570 to 2798 of the family's 2925-position model. The record is from RNAcentral. Lineage: Bacteria; Pseudomonadati; Pseudomonadota; Gammaproteobacteria; Enterobacterales; Enterobacteriaceae.